Trichobilharzia regenti is the source of this 45-nucleotide non-coding RNA. NCBI's taxonomy places the organism in Eukaryota, Metazoa, Platyhelminthes, Trematoda, Strigeidida, Schistosomatidae. The record is from Rfam.
AUCCGGUUGACGAGUCCCAAAUAGGACGAAAUGUGCAUCCUGGAU